Molecule: non-coding RNA, 674 nt
Organism: Taeniopygia guttata (zebra finch)
Lineage: Eukaryota; Metazoa; Chordata; Aves; Passeriformes; Estrildidae
Source: RefSeq, a predicted model, not a curated record
CCCAUGGAGGGCUGGGGGCUGCCCCAUGUAGGGCUGGGGGCUGCCCCAUGGAGGGUUGGGGGCUGCCCUAUGGGCUGUGCGUAUCUAAAGGGGGGGGCUGCCCCAUAGCAGGUCAGGAGCUGCCCCAUAGAGGGUGUGCAUAGCUGGAGUGGGUGGGGGGCUGCCCCAUAGCAGAGUUAGGGGGCUGCCCUAUGGACUGUGCGUGUCUAAAGUUAGGGGGCUGCCCCAUAGCGGGGUCAGGAGCUGCCCCAUAGCAGGUGCAUAGAUGGGAUUGGGGACAGCCCCAUAGCGGAGUUAGGGGGGUGCCCUAUGGACUGUGCGUAUCUAAAGGGGGGCUGCCCCAUAGCGGGGUUAAAGGGCUGCCCCAUAGGAGGUGCAUAGAUGGGAUCAGGGGCUGCCCCAUAGCAGGGAUGGGGGCUGCCCCAUAGAGGGGGUGCAUAGCUGGAGUGGGUGGGGGGCUGCCCCAUAGCAGAGUUAGGGGGCUGCCCUAUGGACUGUGCGUGUCUAAAGGGGGGCUGCCCCAUAGCAGGGUUUGGGGCUGCUUCACAUUGGGGUCAGGGGCUGCCUCAUAGGGGGGCUGGGGGCUGCCCCAUAACUGGCUUGGAGGCUGCCCCACAGCGGUUUGGGGUCACACAGCAGGUUUGGGGUCACACAGCGGGUUUGGGGUCACACAG